GGCAAAAUUUUGGAGAAAGAGAGAAGCAAACGACAGAGUCAGGGGGGGUUUUUGGGCAGAGAGAAAGAUAAGAACAUGGGGUAAUUUUUGGUGUGAAAGAGAGGAACGAACCAAGGAAUUUUGAGGGUGCAAGGAGAGUGAAAGAACAGAAAAAGCCGAAACCAACAGAGAAACAGAGGAGAGGAAGAACCACCGGCUGCGGUCCACAUAGCCGCCACCAUCGCCUCCACCGUUCCUCCCAGUCACCCCCGACAGCACCAUCAUCGUCCAAAAAUAGAAGAAGAGACGGAGAAGUGAGAGGAAGAAAAAUACAGAGAAACAGAGACUGCGGUCUCUGCACAGAGAAGAAGAAGAA
Molecule: long non-coding RNA, 355 nt
Filed under: Populus trichocarpa (black cottonwood)
Lineage: Eukaryota; Viridiplantae; Streptophyta; Magnoliopsida; Malpighiales; Salicaceae
Description: long non-coding RNA (PTRI_LNC003367)
Source: RNAcentral